UUCGGCUGUCACUUCCCGCUCUGGCCUUCAGAUUCCUCAGUGUGGAAAGCGAGGGAAUCAGGCCACAGUCUUUGCAACUCUCUCUCUAGUUCUCUGACUUUGCAGCUUCCAGCAGUCUACAUCCAACUAGGAAAGACAAAGCCAGGGUGAUGCCCAGGGGCUGGUAUGGUGGUGCCCGCCUCAGUACCAGCGCUGGAGCGGUGGAUCUCUGUGAGUCUGACGACAACCUAGUCUACGUGGAGUAGCAGUUCUCAACCCCUUUGGGGGCUGGAUGACCUUUCAUGGGGGGGGGGUCUCCUAAGGCCACCAGAAAACACAGAUAUUUACAUUAUGAUUCAUAACAGUAGCAAAGUCAGAGUUGUGAAGUAACA
RNAcentral lists this long non-coding RNA (371 nucleotides) under Cricetulus griseus (Chinese hamster). RNAcentral describes it as "lncRNA (ENSCGRG00015037727.1)". Lineage: Eukaryota; Metazoa; Chordata; Mammalia; Rodentia; Cricetidae. The record is from RNAcentral.